GAAGCUGUAGGGUCGAGUGGUUAAGGCGAUAGACUUGUAAUGUUUUGGGAUCUUCCCGCACAGGUUCGAAUCCUGCCGGCAUCG
This 84-nucleotide transfer RNA is filed under the name Dreissena polymorpha. RNAcentral's name for it is "tRNA-Thr". Lineage: Eukaryota; Metazoa; Mollusca; Bivalvia; Myida; Dreissenidae. The record is from RNAcentral.